This 229-nucleotide long non-coding RNA is filed under the name Elaeis guineensis (African oil palm). RNAcentral describes it as "long non-coding RNA (EGUI_LNC054618)". The record is from RNAcentral. Lineage: Eukaryota; Viridiplantae; Streptophyta; Magnoliopsida; Arecales; Arecaceae.
CUGUACACAGCUCCUAAACUGGAGUGGUCAAUCCCAUCUUGACACACGCACCGACAAGUCAAGUACUUGACUACACCCAGCAGCCUUCCGUCACUGAAUUAAAAAUUCAAGUAGUCCAGUGUCUAAGUACAGUGAGUUGCUUACAAGUCACCAUGGCGGUCUCAGGUCGGAGGGAUAUUUAUACCCAUAUUCCAUCGGUAGCAAAUCUUGACAGUAGAAAUAGCUCUGG